This 24-nucleotide microRNA is filed under the name Glycine max (soybean). Its description in RNAcentral is "gma-miR1520j". The record is from miRBase by way of RNAcentral. Lineage: Eukaryota; Viridiplantae; Streptophyta; Magnoliopsida; Fabales; Fabaceae.
AAGAACGUGACACAUGACAAUCAA